CCUACGGGUGGCAGCAGUGAGGAAUAUUGGUCAAUGGGCGCGAGCCUGAACCAGCCAAGCCGCGUGCAGGAAGACGGCUCUAUGCGUUGUAAACUUCUUUUAUAAGGGAAUAAAGGGAGCCACGCGUAUCUUUCUGAAUGUAUCGUACGAAUAAGGAUCGGCUAACUACGUGCCAGCAGCCGCGGUAAUACGGAGGUGGCCAGCGUUGUCCGGAUUUAUUGGGUUUAAAGGGAGGGGAGCCGGGAAGUCAAGUCAGAUGUGAAAGCCCGCGGCUCAACCGCUGAACUGCAUUUGAAACUGUCUUUCUUGAGUACCGGAGAGGUCAGCGGAAUGCGUGGUGUAGCGGUGAAAUGCGUAGAUAUAACGAAGAACACCGAUGGCGAAGGCAGCUUACUGGACUGCCACUGACGUUGAGGCGCGAAAGUGUGGGUAUCAAACAGGAUUAGAUACCCUUGUAGUC
RNAcentral lists this ribosomal RNA (460 nucleotides) under uncultured bacterium. RNAcentral's name for it is "partial 16S ribosomal RNA". It matches the Rfam family "Bacterial small subunit ribosomal RNA", at positions 338 to 795 of the family's 1533-position model. The record is from RNAcentral.